Molecule: transfer RNA, 75 nt
Filed under: Scleropages formosus (Asian bonytongue)
Lineage: Eukaryota; Metazoa; Chordata; Actinopteri; Osteoglossiformes; Osteoglossidae
Description: tRNA-Gln
Source: RNAcentral
CAGCUGGUAGCUUAAUGGAUAGAGCUACUGUCUUUGGACCAAGAGGUUGUAGCUUUGAAUCCCACCCCCAGCUGU